UACGUAGGGUGCGAGCGUUGUCCGGAAUUACUGGGCGUAAAGAGCUCGUAGGCGGUCUGUUGCGUCUGCUGUGAAAACCCGGGGCUUAACCCCUGGCUUGCAGUGGAUACGGACAGACUAGAGGUAGGUAGGGGAGAAUGGAAUUCCCGGUGUAGCGGUGAAAUGCGCAGAUAUCGGGAGGAACACCGGUGGCGAAGGCGGUUCUCUGGGCCUUACCUGACGCUGAGGAGCGAAAGCGUGGGGAGUGAACAGG
RNAcentral lists this ribosomal RNA (253 nucleotides) under uncultured bacterium. RNAcentral describes it as "partial 16S ribosomal RNA". It matches the Rfam family "Bacterial small subunit ribosomal RNA", at positions 524 to 776 of the family's 1533-position model. The record is from RNAcentral.